Cucurbita moschata (crookneck pumpkin) is the source of this 1586-nucleotide RNA transcript. It is a transcript of the gene named protein OS-9 homolog, with no coding region annotated. Lineage: Eukaryota; Viridiplantae; Streptophyta; Magnoliopsida; Cucurbitales; Cucurbitaceae. The transcript has 9 exons. The record is from RefSeq and is a predicted model, not a curated record.
CUGUGAAUACGACGACGUUGUGAGUUUACGAAGACGCCACUUUCUUCUUCCUCUCGUCGUGACCGUCGUCGUCCUUCCGCUCCCAGCUGGUAAUUCCUCACCAUUCCAGUUUGCUUCCCUCGUUUUCACCAUUGUGAGUUCGUUUGAGGACACAGAGAUGAGGGAAUUUAUGUGGCUGGUUCUUCUAGCUGGUAGUUUUUGCUACUCUGCGUUUGCUGACCAGAUCUUCCCUGCUCAAUUAGGUGGUACAUUUAGUCGCAACUCUCGUGGGCCAAAAUACAAUAUUGAAUUCCAUCCAGAAGACUCGCGUUACAAUCCGGAUGAUGACCAGGAAUCUGUGUUUAUGCCCAAAAAAAAUGGAAAGAAUUACUUAUGUUACUUGCCUAAGGUGGAGAAGUCCAAGAGUGAAAAGCCAGCUAUUCAACCGAACAUGACUAGCAUGAUUAUGGAAUCUGAGAAGCGGGUUAAAUUGAAGACUCCAGAUGAGCUACUUGAGGCAUUAAAAGAGCAAUGCUUUGUCAGGCAAGAGGGUUGGUGGACAUAUGAAUUUUGUUACCAGAAAACGCUACGACAAUUUCAUUUGGAGGAUGAUAAGGUAGUUCAGGAGUUUGUAUUGGGUGUCUAUGAUGCAGAGGAAACCGCUAAUCUCAAUGAGAAUCUCUCUGAUAUAUCUACUUUGAAGGACCCUCGCUCCAAAGAUGCAUCACAAAGGUAUCAUGCUCAUCAUUACACAAAUGGAACCAUGUGUGAUCUCACAAAUCGACCACGAGAAACUGAGGUUAGAUUUGUUUGCUCGGAGCCAAGAGCGAUGAUCGACUCUAUUACAGAACUAUCAACAUGCAAAUAUGCCCUUACAGUGCGAUGCCCGACGCUUUGCAAGCAUCUGUUAUUCCAGGAAGAAAGACCAGUCUGGUACACCAUUAACUGCAACGUGCUCCCUGAUGAUUACAAGGAAACAGAGCCAAGUGAAGACUUAGAAGACGAAAUUGUUAUGGUUACAGACGUCAAAUACCCAAAAAAUGAAUCCGAAGAGUAAUGUGAAUAUUUUAUAUCGUAGAAGUUUUAACAACCAAACUAACCUUACAAAAGAAGCCAUUCCUCUGUAGAUUUGGAUUCUGAAUUCAAAUAUACAGUUGCUUUGGAGAUCAAUCCACCGAUUUUCAGGCCCCACGACGAACAACUCCCAUGUGGAAUUUCAUAUGCUUUGAUCAUAUCUGAAUAUAGGUCAACCUGAAAGCUACUGAUAUGGCAGUCGUUUAUGGGAUUUAUUGUAUUGGACAAUGAUUCAACUUAUUGGAGGGGAAAAGCAGCGAGCGUUUGAAUUGUGCAUUCAUUUAUCCCUACAAGCUCUACAAGAUUUAUGGUCGUAAAUAUGGGUACAACGGUACAACUUUCAAGGUAUAAAUUUACUCUCUUGAAUAAUUUCUGAUUAGAUGAUAGUUCUAGAUCUUUAUCUUUUUAACAUCCCCUCAUUUCCUCUAGGUUAGUGAUUCAAAUCCUCGAGCCUUUGUCGUAUUAAGAAAAAUCUAUAUCUUCUCUAUUAAGACAGUUUUAUUUAUAAAUCAACCUUUUGUACUUUUCCAUCA